This 1274-nucleotide long non-coding RNA is filed under the name Homo sapiens (human). RNAcentral describes it as "hepatocellular carcinoma up-regulated long non- coding RNA". The record is from RNAcentral. Lineage: Eukaryota; Metazoa; Chordata; Mammalia; Primates; Hominidae.
GCGCAUGCUCUAUGGGGUAGAGACGCUAGGCCGGCACUGCCUAGGUGGGCCGGGCGGUGCGAGGGUCGCCUUUCAGCCUUUACCUCUACCCACUGAAAUGGAGUAGGUCGGUGAGCGCCGAUCUGCUGGAGAAUCUCAUUAUCCCAUCGGCGCUCUGCCUGCUCCUGGCCUCCAAGCCUCUGAAGCCCCUCGGGUUUCAGCUGCCGGCUACCCUCGAGCCCGUGGUGCCCACGAGAGAGGCGACUUUACGUCAGCGGCCCUGGGCUGAGAUUUGAGAACGCGACCAAGUGGAGAAUGUUGGAGCCAGAUUUUAAAAUCCUUGUCUUCCUUCUGCGUGCUACUUGAUCUAAAUGAGAUACGGCAAAGUCACAGAACCUGUUUUUAUGUUUUUGCCUGAUUCAUACGGGCUUCUCCGGUGAAGAUGGGCCUGAAGUAACGCUUGGGUUGCUUCUGACGUUAUAACUCAUCCUGUAGCUGCAGCAACCGUGGUCCUUGCAACCUCAUAAAAAUGUUGCCAGCAUUGUUUCGAUAGUGCUGCUUAAUUCUUGGAAGGCCUCUUUGCUUUCUUCCCUGAGGUUCUUCGGACUUCACACAUUCCAGCAGUAGCUCUCUCAGCUCCUGUCCUGCACAGCUUUGAAGUGCUGGCUGGAGUGCAGUGGUGCCAUCUCGGCUCACUGCAGCCUCAACCUCCUGGGCUCAAGCGAUCCUCCUGCCACACCCUCCUGAGUAGCUGGGAUUACAGGUGAUGUCAUUGAACUCUUAAGUGCAAGAUGAAACAAGUCUUUCUGGGGUUCUAAGUAGGACACAGCCCUGGUGAUGGCUUUCUGAGGAUGACACGAUGGAGGCUUCUCCAAUAGCUCUAAAACUGCGGUGUGGAAAACAUUCGGCAGCCUCAAAGAGCGGUCUUGUUGACCCCAACUAUAUCAUUUUUCAUCAAAAUCAUUCUUGUAAAGAAUGACCAGGCAACACUCUUUGAAAAUUGGAGGCCAUUUGCAGCUGCUCUCUGUUGAGGAAAGUGAAUAAUAGGGUGCCCUCAAGGAAUUGCAAAGGUAUCACUCAACAGAAACUUUCGUGUCUGAAGAAAACUAGAUCAUUUUAUCAUGGUAGGCAUGCUGAUAUGUUUGCUUUAAUAAAAUGCCAUAUUUCUGCCUUUAAUCUCUUGUCAACCCGCUAUUAAAAAGCCCCAAAGUGCAUGUGUGCAGCGCAUGUAAACACUUGUGGUUUUGAGGUUACCACAGAACAUACUAAUAAAGCAUGUAAUUUGUGUUUUGUGC